RNAcentral lists this ribosomal RNA (499 nucleotides) under uncultured bacterium. Its description in RNAcentral is "bacterial SSU rRNA". It matches the Rfam family "Bacterial small subunit ribosomal RNA", at positions 29 to 507 of the family's 1533-position model. The record is from RNAcentral.
ACGAACGCUGGCGGCGUGCCUAAUACAUGCAAGUCGAGCGGAAUGAUGAAGAAGCUUGCUUCUUCUGAUUUUAGCGGCGGACGGGUGAGUAACACGUGGGCAACCUACCUUGUAGAUUGGGAUAACUCCGGGAAACCGGGGCUAAUACCGAAUAAUCCAUUUUGCUUCAUGGCGAGAUGUUGAAAGACGGUUUCGGCUGUCACUACAAGAUGGGCCCGCGGCGCAUUAGCUAGUUGGUAGGGUAAUGGCCUACCAAGGCGACGAUGCGUAGCCGACCUGAGAGGGUGAUCGGCCACACUGGGACUGAGACACGGACCAGACUCCUACGGGAGGCAGCAGUGGGGAAUCUUCCACAAUGGACGAAAGUCUGAUGGAGCAACGCCGCGUGAGUGAAGAAGGUUUUCGGAUCGUAAAACUCUGUUGUAAGGGAAGAACACGUACGAGAGUAACUGCUCGUACCUUGACGGUACCUUAUUAGAAAGCCACGGCUAACUACGUG